This 359-nucleotide ribosomal RNA is filed under the name Cephalcia sp. Sus16. RNAcentral describes it as "partial 12S ribosomal RNA". Lineage: Eukaryota; Metazoa; Arthropoda; Insecta; Hymenoptera; Pamphiliidae. The record is from RNAcentral.
UAAAAAUGUAAAUAAUAAAAUCUAAAUUAUUAAUAGAUAUAUUCUUUAAAAUUAAUAAAUUUGGCGGUAUUAUAAUCUAAUUAGAGGAACCUGUAUUUUAAUCGAUAAUCCACGAUAAAUUUUACUUAAUUUUGUAUUCAAUAUGUAUACCGCCGUUAUCAGAAUAUUUUAAAAGAAAUAAAAUUUUCUAAAUUUUUUAUAUUAAAAUGAUUUCAGGUCAAGGUGCAGUUUAUAAUUAAGUAUAUAUGGGUUACAAUAAAUUUAUUUAAAUGAAUAUAAUUAUUGAAAUUUAAUUAUUAAAGUGGAUUUAAAAGUAAAUUAAAUUAUUUUAUUUAAUUGAUUAUAGCUCUAUAAUAUGU